CCUACGGGUGGCAGCAGUGAGGAAUAUUGGUCAAUGGACGCAAGUCUGAACCAGCCAUGCCGCGUGCAGGAAGACGGCUCUAUGAGUUGUAAACUGCUUUUGUACGAGGGUAAACGCAGAUACGCGUAUCUGUCUGAAAGUAUCGUACGAAUAAGGAUCGGCUAACUCCGUGCCAGCAGCCGCGGUAAUACGGAGGAUCCAAGCGUUAUCCGGAUUUAUUGGGUUUAAAGGGUGCGUAGGUGGUCGGUUAAGUUAGAGGUGAAAGCUUGAGGCUCAACUGCGGAAUUGCAUUUGAUACUGGUCGGUUAGAGGGUAGUUGCGGUAGGCGGAAUGUAUGGUGUAGCGGUGAAAUGCUUAGAGAUCAUACAGAACACCGAUUGCGAAGGCAGCUUACCAAGCUGCUACUGACGUUGAGGCACGAAAGCGUGGGGAGCAAACAGGAUUAGAUACCCCAGUAGUC
This 460-nucleotide ribosomal RNA is filed under the name uncultured bacterium. RNAcentral describes it as "partial 16S ribosomal RNA". It matches the Rfam family "Bacterial small subunit ribosomal RNA", at positions 338 to 795 of the family's 1533-position model. The record is from RNAcentral.